GGCGGCUGAGCAGACAAGCCUCUCGGGCUGGUGAGCGCUGCUCGUUGCCGAGCCUCCGUGCGGGAAUCUCUCCGCUUUGCCCUCCGCACCUCUGUGGCUGCGCUCUCCUCCGUGGCUCCGAAGCUCCCGCCUCUGCCACCCGCAGUCUCUGCCCGCGAAGGGGCUUCCUAGUGUGUGGACACCUUUCCUCCUUCACGGCUCCCUCCCACUGGUGCAGGACACUACAGACAGAGUUUCGGGAAUCCUGACCCUGGAUGUCAUCCAUGAUACCGUAACUACAUUUAGAUUUCGUGUCUCCCUGGACUCCUCUUGGCCGUGACAGUUCCAUCUGACUUCUGCAGGAGCCAUAGAGAAGAGCAUCUCCCAUCUAGAGUCACUGCCCCAGGAGGAUGAGAGGAAUAUGGAGUCAAACUGGUCCCAGCUUCUGAAGCCUGAAACAGAGUGGCCUGCAGACCUGCAGUGAGAAGCAUACCUGCCAGGCUAAGCUCAUCCCAGAUCA
Long non-coding RNA from Balaenoptera ricei (Rice's whale), 499 nucleotides. RefSeq lists it as uncharacterized. NCBI's taxonomy places the organism in Eukaryota, Metazoa, Chordata, Mammalia, Artiodactyla, Balaenopteridae. The transcript has 4 exons. The record is from RefSeq and is a predicted model, not a curated record.